This 248-nucleotide ribosomal RNA is filed under the name uncultured bacterium. RNAcentral describes it as "partial 16S ribosomal RNA". It matches the Rfam family "Bacterial small subunit ribosomal RNA", at positions 524 to 771 of the family's 1533-position model. The record is from RNAcentral.
UACGAAGGGGACUAGCGUUGUUCGGAAUCACUGGGCGUAAGGCGCACGUAGGCGGAUAUUUAAGUCAGGGGUGAAAUCCCGGGGCUCAACCCCGGAACUGCCUUUGAUACUGGGUAUCUCGAGUCCGGAAGAGGUGAGUGGAGUUCCGAGUGUAGAGGUGAAAUUCGUAGAUAUUCGGAGGAACACCAGUGGCGAAGGCGGCUCACUGGUCCGGUACUGACGCUGAGGCACGAAAGCGUGGGGAUCAA